AGGGGCGUCGGUUAACUGGUAAACCUUCGGAUUCCAAAUCCGAGACUGCAGGUUCGAGUCCUGCCGCCCCUG
Molecule: transfer RNA, 72 nt
Filed under: Patescibacteria group bacterium
Lineage: Bacteria
Description: tRNA-Trp
Rfam family: tRNA
About the family: Transfer RNA (tRNA) molecules are approximately 80 nucleotides in length. Their secondary structure includes four short double-helical elements and three loops (D, anti-codon, and T loops).
Source: RNAcentral